RNAcentral lists this non-coding RNA (236 nucleotides) under Oryza glumipatula. Its description in RNAcentral is "Bacterial small subunit ribosomal RNA". It matches the Rfam family "Bacterial small subunit ribosomal RNA", at positions 317 to 536 of the family's 1533-position model. The record is from Rfam by way of RNAcentral. Lineage: Eukaryota; Viridiplantae; Streptophyta; Magnoliopsida; Poales; Poaceae.
GCACUAUGCUUAAUCCAUGGCAAACUGUGCUAACUCAUGCGCUAGCCCAGACUCCUACGGGAGGCAGCAGUGGGGAAUUUUCCGCAAUGGGCGAAAGCCUGACGGAGCAAUGCCGCGUGGAGGUGGAAGGCCCACGGGUCGUCAACUUCUUUUCUCGGAGAAGAAACAAUGACGGUAUCUGAGGAAUAAGCAUCGGCUAACUCUGUGCCAGCAGCCGCGGUAAGACAGAGGAUGCA